GAUGAACGCUGGCGGCGUGCCUAAUACAUGCAAGUCGAACGAACAGGCCAGGAUCUUGCUGCUCUGACGUUGGCGGCGGACGGGUAAGUAGCAAGUGAAUAACCUAUCUAUAAGACUGGACUAACGUCAAGAAACGGGAGCUAAUGACGGAUAAUAUAUUGAACCGCAGGGUUCAGUAGUGGAAGGCGGUUUUGCUGUCACUUAUAGAUGGAUCCGCGCCGCAUUAGCUGGUUGGUAAGGUAACGGCUUACCAAGGCAACGGUGGGUAGGCGACGCGAGAGGGUGAGCGGGCACAGUGGAGCUGAGACGCGGUCCAGACUCCUACGGGAGGCAGCAGUAGGGAAUGGUGCGAGAUGGGCGAAAGCCUGACGGAGCAACGCCGCGUGAGUGAUGAAGGUCUUCGGAUCGUAAAACUCUGUUAUUAGGGAAGAACAAAUGUGUAAGUAACUAUGCACGUCUUGACGGUACUUGAUCAGAAAGCCACGGCUAACUACGUG
This 497-nucleotide ribosomal RNA is filed under the name uncultured bacterium. RNAcentral's name for it is "partial 16S ribosomal RNA". It matches the Rfam family "Bacterial small subunit ribosomal RNA", at positions 28 to 507 of the family's 1533-position model. The record is from RNAcentral.